CAGUAGCCGCGGGAAUACGUAGGUCCCGAGCGUUGUCCGGAUUUAUUGGGCGUAAAGCGAGCGCAGGCGGUUAGAUAAGUCUGAAGUUAAAGGCUGUGGCUUAACCAUAGUACGCUUUGGAAACUGUUUAACUUGAGUGCAGAAGGGGAGAGUGGAAUUCCAUGUGUAGCGGUGAAAUGCGUAGAUAUAUGGAGGAACACCGGUGGCGAAAGCGGCCCUCUGGUCUGUAACUGACGCUGAGGCUCGAAAGCGUGGGGAGCAAACAGGAUUAGAUACCCCCGUAGUCCCUGUCUCUUAUACA
RNAcentral lists this ribosomal RNA (301 nucleotides) under uncultured bacterium. RNAcentral describes it as "partial 16S ribosomal RNA". It matches the Rfam family "Bacterial small subunit ribosomal RNA", at positions 509 to 808 of the family's 1533-position model. The record is from RNAcentral.